UACGUAGGGGGCAGGCGUUAUCCGGAUUUACUGGGUGUAAAGGGAGCGUAGACGGUAAUGUAAGUCUGAUGUGAAAGCCCGGGGCUCAACCCCGGGACUGCAUUGGAAACUAUGUAACUAGAGUACCGGAGAGGUAAGCGGAAUUCCUAGUGUAGCGGUGAAAUGCGUAGAUAUUAGGAGGAACACCAGUGGCGAAGGCGGCUUACUGGACGGAAACUGACGUUGAGGCUCGAAAGCGUGGGGAGCAAACAGG
Molecule: ribosomal RNA, 253 nt
Filed under: uncultured bacterium
Lineage: Bacteria
Description: partial 16S ribosomal RNA
Rfam family: Bacterial small subunit ribosomal RNA
Source: RNAcentral